RNAcentral lists this long non-coding RNA (370 nucleotides) under Homo sapiens (human). Its description in RNAcentral is "HSALNT0137003". Lineage: Eukaryota; Metazoa; Chordata; Mammalia; Primates; Hominidae. The record is from RNAcentral.
GUGGCCCAUGAAACCACACUAAGGCUGCUGAGCAACUUCCAGCAAGCAGUGAAGCUACCAAAAGGGGUCAGCCUAGGAUUUAUGAGAUACUCCCUCACACAACCUGAGAAGAAAUUAAGAAACAACUUUUACUUCAGAACUGAAAACUGUCUGGAAAACCAGAGAAGUGCUGAAUGUCACUGUAAAGAAACGAAAAACAGGAGGCGACGUGUGCUGGGCAGAUGGGACAUGGCUUUCUGUGUUUCCGUAGGUAAUUGCAACAGCAUUAAGAAAAUGUGAGAAAGAUAUUAGCAUGGCACAAAUGCCUGUUCAUCUCCGCUUUUAAAUGUCUCUGAGUUGAAUUAAACCACAGUGGUAAUGUAGAGUUUUU